GCUGUGUGUGGCUCAGUGGUAAAGCACUUGCCUAGCAUGUGUGAGGCACUGGGUUCAAUUCUCAGCACUGCA
RNAcentral lists this transfer RNA (72 nucleotides) under Marmota monax (woodchuck). RNAcentral's name for it is "tRNA.Ala". The stretch from base 6 to 68 matches the Rfam family "tRNA", at positions 5 to 66 of the family's 71-position model. Rfam says of the family: Transfer RNA (tRNA) molecules are approximately 80 nucleotides in length. Lineage: Eukaryota; Metazoa; Chordata; Mammalia; Rodentia; Sciuridae. The record is from RNAcentral.